This is a long non-coding RNA of Lacerta agilis (Sand lizard), 239 nucleotides long. RefSeq lists it as uncharacterized. The transcript is spliced from 4 exons. NCBI's taxonomy places the organism in Eukaryota, Metazoa, Chordata, Lepidosauria, Squamata, Lacertidae. The record is from RefSeq and is a predicted model, not a curated record.
CCUUCGGCGGGCGAGCUCUGUUUCUCUAUCUAAGGCAGUCCUGCAGCAAGACCUGAAUUUGCAAGAUCAUGUGCGACUGCUUUCCAGCUGCAAGAGUCAUUGGCGAUGUGUCUGUACCACAUGAUGCAUAUUCCUGAACAAGGAGCAGCUGUGUGGAAAACCCUUAAGAGGUAUGUUUGAGGACCAGUGCAUCUGAAUGAUGGGGAGGCGAGACCUUUGGGUGCUGGGUGUGUUUCAGU